This 253-nucleotide ribosomal RNA is filed under the name uncultured bacterium. RNAcentral describes it as "partial 16S ribosomal RNA". It matches the Rfam family "Bacterial small subunit ribosomal RNA", at positions 524 to 776 of the family's 1533-position model. The record is from RNAcentral.
UACAGAGGUCUCAAGCGUUGUUCGGAUUCAUUGGGCGUAAAGGGUGCGUAGGCGGCGCGGUAAGUCGGGUGUGAAAUCUUGGAGCUUAACUCCGAAACUGCAUUCGAUACUGCCGUGCUUGAGGACUGGAGAGGAGACUGGAAUUUACGGUGUAGCGGUGAAAUACGUAGAUAUCGUAAGGAAGACCAGUGGCGAAGGCGGGUCUCUGGACAGUUCCUGACACUGAGACACGAAGGCCAGGGGAGCAAACGGG